This 377-nucleotide ribosomal RNA is filed under the name uncultured eukaryote. RNAcentral's name for it is "partial 18S ribosomal RNA". It matches the Rfam family "Eukaryotic small subunit ribosomal RNA", at positions 592 to 976 of the family's 1831-position model. The record is from RNAcentral.
CAAUAGCGUAUAUUUAAGUUGCUGCAGUUAAAAAGCUCGUAGUUGGAUUUCGGGUGGGAAUGGCCGGUCCGCCGUUUCGGUGUGCACUUGCUACGCCCACCUUGCUGCCGGGGACGUGCUCUUGAGUUCACGCUCGGGACACGGAGUCGGCGAGGUUACUUUGAGUAAAUUAGAGUGUUCAAAGCAGGCCUACGCUCUGAAUACAUUAGCAUGGAAUAACACGAUAGGACUCUGGCCUAUCUUGUUGGUCUGUAGGACCGGAGUAAUGAUUAAGAGGGACAGUCGGGGGCAUUCGUAUUUCAUUGUCAGAGGUGAAAUUCUUGGAUUUAUGAAAGACGAACUACUGCGAAAGCAGUUGCCAAGGAUGUUUUCAUUAA